This 301-nucleotide ribosomal RNA is filed under the name uncultured bacterium. RNAcentral's name for it is "partial 16S ribosomal RNA". It matches the Rfam family "Bacterial small subunit ribosomal RNA", at positions 509 to 809 of the family's 1533-position model. The record is from RNAcentral.
CAGCAGCCGCGGUAACACGGAGGGGGCUAGCGUUGUUCGGAAUUACUGGGCGUAAAGCGCACGUAGGCGGCUUUGUAAGUCAGAGGUGAAAGCCCGGGGCUCAACCCCGGAAUUGCCUUUGAGACUGCAUCGCUUGAAUCCAGGAGAGGUGAGUGGAAUUCCGAGUGUAGAGGUGAAAUUCGUAGAUAUUCGGAAGAACACCAGUGGCGAAGGCGGCUCACUGGACUGGUAUUGACGCUGAGGUGCGAAAGCGUGGGGAGCAAACAGGAUUAGAUACCCCCGUAGUCCCUGUCUCUUAUAA